CCCUUAGAUGUCCGGGGCCGCACGCGCGCUACACUGAAGGAAUCAGCGUGGCUUUCUCCCUGACCCGAAAGGGUUGGGAAACCCGUUGAAUCUCCUUCGUGAUAGGGAUUGGGGCUUGAAAUUGUUCCCCAUGAACGAGGAAUUCCCAGUAAGCGCGAGUCAUAAGCUCGCGUUGAUUACGUCCCUGCCCUUUGUACACACCGCCCGUCGCUACUACCGAUUGAACGGUUUAGUGAGGGCCUCGGAUUGGUCUCGGCCCGCUCUUUACCGGGCGGCGCCGUUGGUCGAGAAGACGCUCGAACUUGAUCGUUUAGAGGAAGUAAAAGUCGUAACAA
RNAcentral lists this ribosomal RNA (335 nucleotides) under uncultured eukaryote. RNAcentral describes it as "partial 18S ribosomal RNA". It matches the Rfam family "Eukaryotic small subunit ribosomal RNA", at positions 1470 to 1797 of the family's 1831-position model. The record is from RNAcentral.